GGCUCAAAGUUGGCCCUGGAGAGAAGGGUCCCCUCUUUAUCUGAGACUGGAAGAAGGGAAGAUAUCCAGGGGCCGUAAGAUGAGGAGAAGGGAUUGUGAGAUAAGGAGAAAGAGAAAAGAGGGCGCUCUAGAUGAAUUUUUCAGUCCAAUAUGAGACAAAGACUUGAGUUGAGAUGGCAGAGGAAGGGGUUGCUGUGAAGAGGCUUGAGGAGGAAGAUAUCAACUUGAGUUUUGGUUUUCAGGCAAAGACUUCCUGCUCUCUGUCUUUUGUUCAUAUUGACUAUUGUGUAUGGCUGGGUCAGAGUUCACAGAAUAAGGAAAGGGCCUGGAGCUGUAAUUUCAUUUGUAGAGGAAGCUCCCCUUGAGAAUCUUCCUCUACCAGUUCAGCUUGGCCUUAGAAGAACCCUUGAUAACUCUGACAUCAGAAACAUUGGCCUGAAUCCAAGUGUCAAUAGGAUGAAUUGGGAUGUAAACUUCAGGGAGGCCAUUAGAAGAGCAAGGUCCCCAGGUCAUCACCCCUAGCAGCACCCACUGACCAGCAAAGAAGCAAAGGAGAGUACUGCCAUCUGCCACCUAAAAGGAGAGAGAAGAGUCACUGGAUCAAGUACUCCAUCAAGCAACAUGCUAACUGGUUGGUGGGACAUCUGGAAGAGAGCCAGAGGGUGCCUGAUUGACCUUGGGUGAUUUAAUAUUGGACUGGCUCAAGGUACAGACUCAAGAGAACUGUUUUUGAACUGCAUCUCUAGAGUCAAGUAAGGAAGAGAUUGUACUUUCAUAACACUUGGUCUUCCUGUGGCCACGAGCACAUAUCCAGCCUAUGUAAGGAUGAGCCUGGUAUUGGACUUCCCUUCUUUUCUGUUUCCUUUCCUUGAACAGGUAACUUUGUGAAUUCAAAAGGUCUAUGAGGGCAGGGGUAGCAACUGGACUUCCCUAGAGAGUAGGGUCCACUGGAGAGAAGAUGCUGUGGAACCCAGUACAAGAGUGUUAUAUUGUAUAUGGGCCACCAGAUGGCAGAGGGAUGUAGGACUAGGCCUGUGACUGUAAACUUGCAUUGAAGACAGAUGUGGAAUUAUCAGAACUACAGAACCUAGAAAUACUGGGAGAGAAAGGAUUUGGGUUUGAAAUAAUCAGAUUGGUUCUGGUUGUUUUUUUUUUUACUGAUCCUAUUUAUAGUUAAUUGAUUUUGUCCUAUGACUGCAUAAGUCACGAUUCUUUGUCUCUGGACUUAGUUCAGAAAUUCAGCUGUUAAGUUUAGAAAUCCAAUUCACUUGUUAAUCACUGUUCUAUUCUUGUGACAAAGAAAUCCAUUACCCUUGAAGGAGGCAGGUGGACAUUAGGUAGUCUGGUCUAGUAUUUUUACAUCACCAAGCUAUUCUUCAAGGAUGUCUGGUUUGUUAUCCAAAGAAGUCUGGUCCACUGUCUCUAAGCCCGAAGGUGGACUCAAACAAAGAACAUUUCUUAGUCACAAGAGGGAAGAAGGGGGCUGUUGCUAGCCCCUCAUUCCCAAUUUCCAACCAUUCAUGUCCCCACCCCCAUGAUGCUAUCUACUGUGUAAUUAAUCAUAUUGUUUACCCUACUUACUCAACUUUGUUCUUUUUUCUCUUGUAUUUCCCCAAACUAUAUAAAGGCUAGUAAGUCCUACCUUAUGGUCUUUGGUCAUUGCGGGAGGCCAUUGACCCAAUUUAUUGGUUACUGCUAGCCUAACUAAUUAAAUUAAUC
Phascolarctos cinereus (koala) is the source of this 1719-nucleotide non-coding RNA. The record is from RefSeq and is a predicted model, not a curated record. NCBI's taxonomy places the organism in Eukaryota, Metazoa, Chordata, Mammalia, Diprotodontia, Phascolarctidae.